GCCAGGUGUGGUGGUGCACCCCUGUAGUCCCAGCUACUUGGGAGGCUGAGGCACGAGAAUCACUUGAACCUGGGAGAUUUGAGGUUGCAGUGAGCUGAGAUCAUGCCAUUGCACUCCAGCCUGGGUGACACAGUGAGACUCUGUCUCCA
This 149-nucleotide non-coding RNA is filed under the name Nomascus leucogenys (northern white-cheeked gibbon). The record is from Rfam by way of RNAcentral. Lineage: Eukaryota; Metazoa; Chordata; Mammalia; Primates; Hylobatidae.